GAUGAACGCUGGCGGCGUGCCUAAUACAUGCAAGUCGAGCGAACGGACGAGAAGCUUGCUUCUCUGAUGUUAGCGGCGGACGGGUAAGUAACACGUGGAUAACCUACCUAUAAGACUGGGAUAACUUCGGGAAACCGGAGCUAAUACCGGAUGAUAUUUUGAACCGCAUGGUUCAAAAGUGAAAGACGGUCUUGCUGUCACUUAUAGAUGGAUCCGCGCUGCAUUAGCUAGUUGGUAAGGUAACGGCUUACCGAGGCAACGAUGCAUAGCCGACCUGAGAGGGUGAUCGGCCACACUGGAACUGAGACACGGUCCAGACUCCUACGGGAGGCAGCAGUAGGGAAUCUUCCGCAAUGGGCGAAAGCCUGACGGAGCAACGCCGCGUGAGUGAUGAAGGUCUUCGGAUCGUAAAACUCUGUUAUUAGGGAAGAACAUAUGUGUAAGUAACUGUGCACAUCUUGACGGUACCUAAUCAGAAAGCCACGGCUAACUACGUG
Molecule: ribosomal RNA, 497 nt
Filed under: uncultured bacterium
Lineage: Bacteria
Description: partial 16S ribosomal RNA
Rfam family: Bacterial small subunit ribosomal RNA
Source: RNAcentral